This 300-nucleotide ribosomal RNA is filed under the name uncultured Streptomyces sp. RNAcentral's name for it is "bacterial SSU rRNA". It matches the Rfam family "Bacterial small subunit ribosomal RNA", at positions 496 to 795 of the family's 1533-position model. Lineage: Bacteria; Bacillati; Actinomycetota; Actinomycetes; Kitasatosporales; Streptomycetaceae. The record is from RNAcentral.
GCGAAGUUCGGGCCAGCAUGCGGGGGAAUACAGAGGUGUCGGGGGUUAAUCGGAAUUACUGGGCGUAAAGCGUUCGUAGUCGGUUUCGUAAGUCGGGUGUGAAAGCCCCGGGCUCAACCUGGGAAUUGCAUUCGAGACUGCGGAGCUAGGGUGCGGAAGAGGGAAGCGGAAUUUCCGGUGUAGCGGUGAAAUGCGUAGAUAUCGGAAGGAACAUCAGUGGCGAAAGCGGCUUCCUGGUCCAGCACCGACGUUCAGGCACGAAAGCGUGGGGAGCAAACAGGAUUAGAUACCCCAGUAGUC